GAAUCCAUUUGAUGGAUUCCAAAAGCUUUUACAUGUCAUUGGUUUCAUAAUAGCACAGUUAGUGACUGUGGAUUAAAUAGUAUCAGUUAAAAAAACAUAGCUUUAUUUUUGUUCUUUUGUUUAAAAAUUAGCUUAGCUCAGCCUUUUCUAACUAGUCUUGUCCUUAAAUGAUGAAAACUUUUUAUUUAUUUCAAAUUUCUGUGGUGUGUGUGUGUGUGUGUUUGUGUGUGUGUCUGUGUGUGUGUCUGUGUGUGUGUAUCUGUGUGUGUCUGUGUGUGUGUAUCUGUGUGUGUCUGUGUGUGUGUCUGUGUGUGUGUGUGUCUGUGUGUGUGUCUGUGUGUGUCUGUGUAUGUGUGUGUGUGUAGUUGUGCACAUGAUUACAGGUGCCUUUCAAAAGCAGAGGUGGUAUU
This 410-nucleotide long non-coding RNA is filed under the name Rattus norvegicus (Norway rat). RNAcentral's name for it is "long non-coding RNA NONRATT015238". Lineage: Eukaryota; Metazoa; Chordata; Mammalia; Rodentia; Muridae. The record is from RNAcentral.